GUGCACAGGGAGACAUGGAGACAGUGGCUGCCUUCGGGGACAGGAUGACACAGCCAUUCCUGCCUCCACGCAGUCACAGCACUGCAAGGCUGAGGCCCUGGGAGAGGACCGUGGGGAUGGGGAUGGAAUGUGCUCCACCCUCAGGCUUUCUGCUGCCACGAGCUCAGGCCCCAAGUUCUCACCCCACUCCCACACCCCCUCUCCUCGCCCGAGGCCACCGCAUCACGUCCUGCAGUUGCAGGUGCGGAACUUUACUCUGCAGAUUUUGAGGACUGGGACAGAGAAACAACAAUCUGCCUGGAAUGUUUCACGUCUUUCGUGUAUUCUGUGCUGCAGCUGGGACCCAAGCUGAGCAGCAAGGAAUGUUCCAGGCAAGGGGCUGGGCUGGGGUCAGGGGAGCUGGGCCCGCCCUGCUGGAGGGGCCCCCCGGUGAGUGUGGGUCUGCUCUGGGCCCUCCCCUGACCGAGCUCUUGCUGCACUGGAGGCUCUGGGGGUGCACAGUCCUCCUCCCCCUCCAGGGGUCAAGAGAUUCUUUAGUCCUGCUACCGGGGAAGAAAUGGAGGCUAUAAAAGACGGAGCAGAUCAGGAAAAGGAAACAUGUGGAGCAGACAGUGUGAAGAGGGGAAGGAAAACAAGUGCAGUCGUUCCCCACUGAUCCCAGGACUAUCUUCUUGACCCAGCAGGAAACCAGCGUAACUGGGGAGAGCACUGCAGUGGCUGGUCUUGGCUGUGACUGCGCAUGUGCUUAUAAAAUGGUGCUAAAAUCCACGCGGGCACGGGAAGAUUGACCUGAGAACAUCCUACCAGGGAGUGGAGGCUUCUUGCAUGGAAGGCCCUAAGCCUGCUCAGCUGAGCCUCCCGCGAGCUGCUUUAAUUGGGGGAGAGGCUGUGGGUGCUGGCAGGGCCACCAUGUGCGUGACUUCCCCGGGGACCACUGUGCUCCUUGUGGACAUGCAAUAGAGUUGAUCAGCAUCUCCCUCUCAGGACCCAGCCCUGCCCACCCCACCCCCUAACGGCAGCAGGAACAUCCCCAGUUAAUCAUGAGGGGACACCAGGGCUGGCCCAACCUGACCUCCCCUGUUUUAGGCCUCCUGAAGAAAGUAUGAGGACACAGGAACCUCAGGGUCCUUGUCCUGCAAACAAGCAGCCCACCCAGCCCAGUAGUGCCUGCCUGUGGGCACUUAGUGGGUCCCGGCACCAAGUAAGGGACACUAUGGGGUCCCAGACUGUCGGGGAUUUUGCCCAAGCCCUGGACCCCACAGUCUCAGUGGAGCACCGUGUUUCAAGAUGAGGUUAUAUGGAUUUUUCAUGUAUGUAUAAUAAUCAGAGAAAAAACACACACAAAGGAAGGAAAAGAAGGAAAUUCCAUGCAGUGCUUUCUUGGACUAUGUUAAGGGGGAAGAAUUACAAGUUACUUGUGUGUGCAUGUUUUAUUAUUCCUAUUUCUCAAUAAAUAUAAAGGCCUUUAUUGCA
Microcebus murinus (gray mouse lemur) is the source of this 1473-nucleotide non-coding RNA. The record is from RefSeq and is a predicted model, not a curated record. Lineage: Eukaryota; Metazoa; Chordata; Mammalia; Primates; Cheirogaleidae.